GAUGAAGAACGCAGCGAAAUGCGAUAAGUAAUGUGAAUUGCAGAAUUCAGUGAAUCAUCGAAUCUUUGAACGCACAUUGCGCCCGCCAGUAUUCUGGCGGGCAUGCCUGUUCGAGCGUCAUUUCAACCAUCAAGCCCCCGGCUUGUGUUGGGGACCUGCGGCUGCCGCAGGCCCUGAAAAGCAGUGGCGGGCUCGCUGUCACACCGAGCGUAGUAGAUUUUCAUCUCGCUCAGGGCGUGCUGCGGGUUCCGGCCGUAAAAAGCCUUAUUUACCCAAGGUUGACCUCGGAUCAGGUAGGAAGACCCGCUGAACUUAAGCAUAUCAAUAAGCGGAGGA
This 336-nucleotide unclassified non-coding RNA is filed under the name soil metagenome. Its description in RNAcentral is "partial contains 5.8S ribosomal RNA, internal transcribed spacer 2, and large subunit ribosomal RNA". The stretch from base 1 to 120 matches the Rfam family "5.8S ribosomal RNA", at positions 35 to 154 of the family's 154-position model. The record is from RNAcentral.